GCCGAGCGCUGUGGUGCACGCCUGUAAUCCCAGCGACUCAGGAGGCUGAGGCAGGAGGAUCGCGAGUUCAAAGCCAGCCUCAGCAAUGGUGAGGUGCUUAGCAGCUCAGUGAGACCCUGUCUCUA
Molecule: small RNA, 125 nt
Filed under: Marmota monax (woodchuck)
Lineage: Eukaryota; Metazoa; Chordata; Mammalia; Rodentia; Sciuridae
Source: RNAcentral